GACAAUCGAUUGUCACCUCCAACCAAUCGAUUGUUUGAGCACAGAAUCAGGGAUUUGAUUUGUCAAUUAAGCAACGGUCAGCACUACUUUUUCACCUAUGAAAAGAGGUCUUUUGAGCUGAUUUUAAACACACAACUCCUGCAAAUAUUGAUAUACAUAUUGAUCAUUUUCAAGCAUCAUUUUAGAGCUUUUGUUGAGCCAUUUGAUAGACAACUUUGUGUUGUUCAUAGAGCUUAUUUUGUUU
RNAcentral lists this long non-coding RNA (244 nucleotides) under Nicotiana benthamiana. RNAcentral describes it as "long non-coding RNA (NBEN_LNC005175)". Lineage: Eukaryota; Viridiplantae; Streptophyta; Magnoliopsida; Solanales; Solanaceae. The record is from RNAcentral.